AAAUGUGCCCAGGAAACGGGUUUUCCAGACUAGAUCAUCGGAGAAGUCCUUAUUCUUUAGAAAACGGGGGUUCCCCUAUUCCAUUAUAGAUGAGGCUCUCACUAGGAUCGCCUCGAUAUCCUGCAGCUCCGCUCUUGCUCCCCCUCCCCCUGUUCGCAACAAGGAGAGAGUCCCCCUAGUCAUCAGCUUCCACCCCAUCAGCCGUCACA
Molecule: long non-coding RNA, 209 nt
Organism: Amblyraja radiata (thorny skate)
Lineage: Eukaryota; Metazoa; Chordata; Chondrichthyes; Rajiformes; Rajidae
Exons: 4
Source: RefSeq, a predicted model, not a curated record